CCUACGGGAGGCAGCAGUGGGGAAUCUUGCGCAAUGGGCGAAAGCCUGACGCAGCAACGCCGCGUGCGGGAAGAAGGCUCUCGGGUUGUAAACCGCUUUCAGCAGGAACGAAAAUGACGGUACUUGCAGAAGAAGGUGCGGCCAACUACGUGCCAGCAGCCGCGGUGACACGUAGGCACCAAGCGUUGUCCGGAUUUAUUGGGCGUAAAGAGCUCGUAGGCGGUUCGGUAAGUCAGGUGUGAAAACUUUGGGCUCAACCCAAAGCCUGCAUCUGAUACUGCUGUGACUAGAGUUCGGUAGGGGAGCGGGGAAUUCCUAGUGUAGCGGUGAAAUGCGCAGAUAUUAGGAGGAACACCGGUGGCGAAGGCGCCGCUCUGGGCCGAAACUGACGCUGAGGAGCGAAAGCGUGGGUAGCAAACAGGAUUAGAUACCCUGGUAGUCCACGCCGUAAACGUUGGGCACUAGGUGUGGGUUUCAACCAACGAAAUCCGCGCCGUCGCUAACGCAUUAAGUGCCCCGCCUGGGGAGUACGGCCGCAAGGUUAAACUCAAAUGAAUUGACGG
RNAcentral lists this ribosomal RNA (563 nucleotides) under uncultured bacterium. RNAcentral's name for it is "bacterial SSU rRNA". It matches the Rfam family "Bacterial small subunit ribosomal RNA", at positions 338 to 916 of the family's 1533-position model. The record is from RNAcentral.